Long non-coding RNA from Rhododendron vialii, 4890 nucleotides. RefSeq lists it as uncharacterized. Lineage: Eukaryota; Viridiplantae; Streptophyta; Magnoliopsida; Ericales; Ericaceae. The record is from RefSeq and is a predicted model, not a curated record. The transcript has 4 exons.
AAAUGAAAUCUAUGCACCUUAACUCCUCAAAUGAUCGAUGAAAUGUAUCAAACACAGAAGUCACAUGCUAUUUCAAUCCGUAGUUCUGUCACUGCUGGGCUUGGAUAUAAGUUACAAAUGGAGCAUGUACAUUCAAAUUAAAGCCAUGAGGUAAUAAUGAGACUUGGAGAAUGUGGGAGUGGAACUAUGCACCAGGGGAAGGUGCCAUUACCUAGCCUCUUGGUUGUGCGGGAAUAUGCUAAUGUAAUUGAAUAGAUUUGGUGGUGCCACCUUUUAUGGUUUGAGAUCCUCCUAUAUGGGCAAGUGUUUUGAGUAUCAUUGUACUUACAUAAAGUUGUUAAUUUACCAGGAUCGUUCCCCUGAGUAUUGAAUGUUUAUGUAGUUUGUUUACUGUCUAACCUUUUUGUUGGUUUGUUGAAAAGUAUCUGAGAACAAAUUGAUUGGUCUUGGGAAGUUGGUCUUGGGAAGUUAUUUUAAAUGGCAUAGACAUUCAGUUUGGGGAGAGGAGGAACACUCCCCUUGGACAUGGGAACAACAUUUUAGCAUUAUAUUGUCUGUCGGGUGAGUGAGAUAGCCGUCUUAUGUUGGAACUAGGUUACAUUCGAACAUUCCUUUAGGCACGAGCCUUUGCUAGAACGAUCCCGUUUAAAGUUAUUCUAAAGAUUGAAUAUUGGUAGAAAAUGGGUUUGGUGGGGGUGGACAAUAGUAGAGAAGGGUUUUUCAUUCAGGUUGAUUCAGGGUACGUUAGAGUUCUGCCUCUAAGUUUUGUUCUUAUGAAUGGUUUGGUGUUAAAAAUAAAUUAGGGAUGCCUUUUGUUACGCUUACAUGUUGCAUAACACGAUUUGCACAUGCACCACGCGUGCCUGGCUUUUAGUAUGUAUAAAUGUGUGUGAAUGGUAGAAACGGAAAAGUUUUGGUUUUAAUUACACAUUUUAGCUUUAACUGCAGCAAUGUUGUGGUUUUGAAAGGAGAAUUGGUUAAGGGACUUCGCCAUUCACAAUGUUAAGGCCUUCUUUGAUGCUACAAUUACAGUUCCAUGUUAGUUGUGCAGAAGUUUGAGUGAAAAUGCUUUAAACUCAGAAUUUCAGUAAGAUUGGUAAGUUUCAGAUUUGAGUGGAAGCUAUGAGUUGGGUUAGAGGAGAGGAGUUUGAGGAGUGAUACAUUUCGAUAAAUGUUGCUAGCGGGAUAGCAAGUUCUGUAAAUGAAAAGGAGUGGAGGGAGUAUUGAUGUGGUUUUACUUGAAUUUAAGUUCAAGCUAACAUUGCAGUAGGAGUUGGAGAGACCCUAAGAUAUGGUCACAAAUAUAGAGGGUCUAGAAGAAUGGAUUUUGUGCAUGUUUAGAUAGCGAGAUGUGACACAUGAUGGUAUGAAGCCUUAUUCAUCACACUUAACACGAUAGACAUACCCUUGCCUCCGCUCAAUGGUCUGGGUUUGGGGAUUGAUAGUUCUAGCAGACGGAAGUUGAUUCCUUUGUGGAAUCCAUUUUCUACUAUGUUAGUUGAGGAAUAUAAAGCACUGCUAGAAUUAAGUAACCUGGAACGUGCUCUUUUUUUUUUGUUUUUCCUCUUCACAAAUGUACCAUUUUUCUGUGACUAAGGCUGUCUAAAAUGUAACAUUCGCAAUGUCACAAUGAAGAAUGAAAUUUUGUCGCCACAUGGAACAAACACAUCAGUCCAAAGUCUAAGGACUUCAAGGGGUUAAUGUAAAAAGUACUUAAUGAUUGGGUGUAUCUAACAUGUUCGAUUAAAUGAUUUAGGGAAAUAUGUCUCCAUUUUUUGGUGUGAGAAGAUUGGUAUGAAUUUCUUUUCCCUCACAAUUCUUUGAUUCAACUUACACAUUCAGUUUGCACAUUGGGCUUUACUAAAUCAAAUUCUCUUCCAUUAUGCUUGCUUAUCUUGUUUUAGGAAUCGGAUGAGAAUAAGGAGGAACUAAUUUUGUUGAAUGAGCAAUUGACAUUGCAGAUGAGUAAUUUGUGGACGUGCAGAAUGUGGGCAUAUCUGUUAGGAGCAUAAGGGCGUUGAAAGUUAAGCCUGCUACCAAUAUUUACCCUGAAGUUUUGCUGCAGUGUGCUUUAUCAUAUCAGGAUUGGGAUCAAGAAGCCUUGAAGCUCAAAGGGAUCAAUACAACUAGAUUAAGAUAGUGGCGGACUAAUAAGCCAAAUUCUUGUGCAUGCUCAAAAUUGGUAUGUAGAAGUUGAUACAAAGACAUUUCGGACAGUUAUGGUGAGGAUGUUCAAACACGUUUGACGUUAGUUGUGUUUGUGGACAAAUUUUUCUAGGGAUACUCUUAGCGUUGUCUUCUAGAUAUCGCCUCGAGAUACGCAUUUUCGUUGGUGUGUAUCGAUUUGUAUUUUUAUUGGUGUUUUGGAUGGUCUUUUUUGAUUUUAUCAAGUUUUAUGCAUUUGAGUUUGUGUAUGCAAAAGUUGGGAUUGAAAAAUUAUUUGUUCUUUAUUUGCUGAUUCAAGUUAACCAUGUCAAUGGAUAUGAUGAGUUAUUAUUUUUUGCAAAGUUGAAUUUGUUGGACAAGGGGCUGAUGUAUUGCACGUGACUUCAGUAUUUAUUUGCAUGUGCUGAUUGUUAAAGCCGUAUAUUGCACACGAGUGUAGUAUUUAUUUGCAUGUGCUGAUUGUGAUCGAGCCGUGCCUUCAGGCACGAGCAUGCGCUAUUUUUAGAUAAAAAGAUAAAGUACUUCCAUGUACAUUUUUUUAAAUUUCUUGACACCAUGUUAAAAAUCUCAAUUAGUUUUUUUAUUAGGUGUCUUGAAAUUCUAAAAAUUAUACAAAGAAGUACUUUUUUUAUCCAAAAAUUAUACGUCUCUGUGUAGUGGUCUAUUUUUGCAAGAUGGAGGGAGUAAAAUAUAUACAAAAUCGUAGGCCACACGCAAUAAAUUUUCUUUAAUUUGUUUUUCUCCAAAGCAACAGUACUUAAUUAGAAUAUUCGCUAUUCUCUCUUCAGAAAUUAAGUUCAUUGUCUAAUUUUUUUUAAUAUUUGCGUUUGUUCUGGAAAUACACGUUCAUAAAUAUAUCAUAAUUCAACUCACUAUAGCACAAAAAUUAAACUCCAAUGGCUUCUCUGGUUUUCUUUGGUUCAAUAAGAAAUAGCUUUACAAGAAAAAAAAAUGAUUAUCCUGGGAUAACGCGAGGAGGUUCAUCAUAGAAUUGAACUUCUUGUGACAAUUUUCAAACCACAAAGAAACCAUAGUGUACUGUGUAUUACACAAACUGAUACAUACUCUAUUCAUACUUUAUAUUUCUUGAAUUUUUCGUAUAAUCUACAGGACACCCCUUCUACUGGAUAUAUAUAUGUGAGAUUGAACAGGACUCAAACUGCCCGCGAAAAUGGCUGAGUAAGCAGUUACUAUGGUCGGAAACUCAGAACAGCUGUGGAACUUCCGUUCAGUCUUCUGACUUCUGAAAUUGGAAACUUUUAACUUAGGUUGAGGAUUACUAACAGAAGCUUCUCCAUUGACGCGGUUUUCCAGGUAAAAUUUUCAUUUUGGAAGCAUGCUUCUGAAUUCACUUCCAUGAUUUCCGUAUCCUACUGAUGUUUUGACCUGAUUUCUCGCCUCCCUCGGGGAGAAUUUUGCAUGUUUGAGGGUAGCAUAAUACCCACAUAACUUCUCGAACCAAGCACUUCUGGAGCAGUAAGUCUUGACACUGACAAGGGUUGCAACCAUGAAAAUGAAGACGAGUAUACUCAGGACUGCACAAAUGUAACAGUAAAAGUUAUAGUAAGUAACUCGGUACUGUGAGAAAAAUAAAAAUUGGUUGGUUUAGAGUUGUGUAGAAAAUUAAAUUAAGGAUUGGUUUACACAGAAAUUAUGCCAAUAGAUGGGAUCUAUAACUUUAUAUAUUCCUUGCUUCACUCACACGAAUUCAAUUGUUAAAUAUUCAAACCAUGUGCUCUUUUAUUCCAAAAUACCCCUGCCUGCACCUCUUGUACUAAUAAAUAAUGAUCAGCAUUAAUUAAGAAACUAAUUUCUUGAUUUACUGUACCUUGUUUUUAUCAAGUACGGAGUACUAUAUUUUGGUCAAUUUUUUCGGAGUUAAAAUAGUCGAUAAUCAUCCAAAGAAAUUCACAAUGGAAAAAGAUCGAGGAGGAUGAAAAAUUUACCCUUUCCGCGUGCUGCACUGAAACAUGUGACGAAAUCUUCCCGCCGAGUCACGUCCCAAGUAAUUCCCAGUCCAAAACUAUCAUCAGCGAGAUAAGGACUGUACGAAAAUGGAAUUGCUACUGUUUUCACAGGCUUACAAGAAUCCGGAACAACCCCAAACGAUGCGACAACAUAGACAUGAUACUCGGAUCCACUCAUACAUGGAACUUGCACGAAGGGACGUGGAAGUGGAGCAGAGCAAUUGAGGUACGUGUAGUAUUUCAGAAUGUAGUAGUAAUGGAACGGGGUUCGAGAGAGAUCGAGGUUUAGAAAGACUUGAUGGACACAAUUUUCGGGAUCAAGGAGACUCAGUCUUUUGGAAUCAUAAGAGAUGGAUUUGACAACCAAAUCCCCAUAUGAUGGAAAAUGGAUUGUGGUUUUGUUUUCCUUGCAAAGUAGUUUGAAACCAGGGUAGCUGCAAUUCUGGGUCUGAAGCCCUUUGAUUGAGAAAGGAAACUGAAUUUCAGGGCCAUUUGGGAAACACUUAGCCGGUGGACAAUUCUUAUCUAUGGCUUCUGUAUUUAGGAAGAUUGAGGAAAAGAGGAGGAAGAAGAUGAUGAUGAUAGCCAUUAGAUAUCAAUAUCAAAUGACACAAGCUUAGUAAGAGAGAGAGAGAGAGAGAGAGAGAGAGGUGAUAAGCACAAAUGACUGAAUGAGAUACGCUAGCCCUGAUGAUCCCUGAAGUUUUUUACAGAAAAAAGUCAAACCAAUACUCUGCAGAGGGCAAUGCUAGGUAAA